Molecule: ribosomal RNA, 459 nt
Filed under: uncultured bacterium
Lineage: Bacteria
Description: partial 16S ribosomal RNA
Rfam family: Bacterial small subunit ribosomal RNA
Source: RNAcentral
CCUACGGGUGGCAGCAGUGAGGAAUAUUGGUCAAUGGGAGAGAUCCUGAACCAGCCAAGCCGCGUGAGGGAAGACGGCUCUAUGGGUUGUAAACCUCUUUUGUCGGAGAACACACCCCGGGACGAGUCCCGGACUGCGUGUAUCCGACUAAAAAGCAUCGGCUAACUCCGUGCCUGCAGCCGCGGUAAUCCGGGGGAUGCGCGCGUUAUCCGUAUUUAUUGGGUUUAAGGGGUGCGAAGGCGGUCCGUUAAGUCCGCGGGAAACUUGCGGAGCUAAACCCCGUCGAGCCGAUGAAACUGGCAGACUUGAGGAGGCGAGAAGUACGCGGAAUGCGCGGUGUAGCGGUGAAAUGCAUAGAUAUCGCGCAGAACACCGAUUGCGAAGGCAGCGUACCGGCGCCAGACUGACGCUGAGGCACGAAAGCGUGGGGAUCGAACAGGAUUAGAUACCCCAGUAGUC